RNAcentral lists this ribosomal RNA (111 nucleotides) under uncultured eukaryote. Its description in RNAcentral is "partial small subunit ribosomal RNA". It matches the Rfam family "Bacterial small subunit ribosomal RNA", at positions 1415 to 1525 of the family's 1533-position model. The record is from RNAcentral.
GGGGGGGCCAAGUCGCCGCGCCGACCGCAAGGGGGCAAGCGCCUAACCUCCAACUCCUGAUUGGGGUGAAGUCGUAACAAGGUAGCCGUAGGUGAACCUGCAGAAGGAUCA